GGUUGACCUCGGAUCAGGUAGGGAUACCCGCUGAACUUAAGCAUAUCAAUAAGCGGAGGAAAAGAAACCAACAGGGAUUGCCUCAGUAACGGCGAGUGAAGCGGCAACAGCUCAAAUUUGAAAUCUGGCUCCUUGGGGGGUCCGAGUUGUAAUUUGUAGAGGAUGCUUCGGGCAAGGCUGCGGUCUAAUUUGCUUGGAACAGCGAGUCACAGAGGGUGAGAGUCCCGUCUAGGACCGUGCGCCGCGUCCAGGUGAAGCUCCUUCGACGAGUCGAGUUGUUUGGGAAUGCAGCUCUAAAUGGGUGGUAAAUUUCAUCUAAAGCUAAAUAUUGGCCAGAGACCGAUAGCGCACAAGUAGAGUGAUCGAAAGAUGAAAAGCACUUUGAAAAGAGAGUUAAACAGUAUGUGAAAUUGUUGAAAGGGAAGCGCUUGCAACCAGACUUGCGUGUGACGGUUCCCCCCACCUUCUGGCGGGGCUACUCCGUCAUCUCCAGGCCAGCAUCGGUUCGGGUGGUCGGUCAAAGACUCCGGGAAUGUAUCUACCUCCGGGUCGACUUAUAGCCCGGGGUGCAAUGCGGCCCACCCGGACCGAGGAACGCGCUUCGGCCCGGAUGCUGGCGUAAUGGUUGUAAGCGGCCCGUCUUGAAACACGGACCAAGGAGUCUAACAUCUAUGCGAGUGUUUGGGUGUUAAACCCCUACGCGGAAUGAAAGUGAACGGAGGUAAGAACCCCGUCCGGGGCGCAUUAUCGACCGAUCCUGAUGUUUUCGGAUGGAUUUGAGUAAGAGCAUAGCUGUUGGGACCCGAAAGAUGGUGAACUAUGCCUGAAUAGGGUGAAGCCAGAGGAAACUCUGGUGGAGGCUCGCAGCGGUUCUGACGUGCAAAUCGAUCGUCAAAUUUGGGCAUAGGGGCGAAAGACCAAUCGAACCAUCUGGUAGCUGGUUCCUGUCG
RNAcentral lists this ribosomal RNA (950 nucleotides) under Verrucaria latebrosa. RNAcentral describes it as "eukaryotic LSU rRNA". It matches the Rfam family "Eukaryotic large subunit ribosomal RNA", at positions 1 to 963 of the family's 3401-position model. Lineage: Eukaryota; Fungi; Ascomycota; Eurotiomycetes; Verrucariales; Verrucariaceae. The record is from RNAcentral.